This 720-nucleotide ribosomal RNA is filed under the name uncultured bacterium. RNAcentral describes it as "bacterial SSU rRNA". It matches the Rfam family "Bacterial small subunit ribosomal RNA", at positions 28 to 776 of the family's 1533-position model. The record is from RNAcentral.
GAUGAACGCUGGCGGCGUGCUAACACAUGCAAGUCGAGCGAUCUUCUUCGGAAGAGAGCGGCGGACGGGUGAGUAACGCGUGGGUAAACCUGCCCUGUACACACGGAUAACAUACCGAAAGGUAUGCUAAUACGGGAUGACAUAUGAAAGUCGCAUGGCUUUUAUAUCAAAGCUCCGGCGGUACAGGAUGGACCCGCGUCUGAUUAGCUAGUUGGUAAGGUAACGGCUUACCAAGGCGACGAUCAGUAGCCGACCUGAGAGGGUGAUCGGCCACACUGGAACUGAGACACGGUCCAGACUCCUACGGGAGGCAGCAGUGGGGAAUAUUGCACAAUGGGCGAAAGCCUGAUGCAGCAACGCCGCGUGAGCGAUGAAGGCCUUCGGGUCGUAAAGCUCUGUCCUCAAGGAAGAUAAUGACGGUACUUGAGGAGGAAGCCCCGGCUAACUACGUGCCAGCAGCCGCGGUAAUACGUAGGGGGCUAGCGUUAUCCGGAAUUACUGGGCGUAAAGGGUGCGUAGGCGGUCUUUCAAGCCAGAAGUGAAAGGCUACGGCUCAACCGUAGUAAGCUUUUGGAACUGUAGGACUUGAGUGCAGGAGAGGAGAGUAGAAUUCCUAGUGUAGCGGUGAAAUGCGUAGAUAUUAGGAGGAAUACCAGUAGCGAAGGCGGCUCUCUGGACUGUAACUGACGCUGAGGCACGAAAGCGUGGGGAGCAAACAGG